CCAUCCAUUACUAUCAUCUAUAUCAUUUAAAGAAUUAGGAUCAAGGGUGUCAUGCAAGUUGUAUCUCUAUGGUAAGGCUUAAUUAUAUUUAACAUAUACCAAAUUACUCAAGGGAUCUUGUGCCAGCUUUUUUUUUUUUUUUUUGCUAUGAACCUAACAAAUUCAUGUAUAAGAUGUUAUAUAUUAUGUGGAAUAUCUGAAUUAUCA
RNAcentral lists this long non-coding RNA (207 nucleotides) under Elaeis guineensis (African oil palm). Its description in RNAcentral is "long non-coding RNA (EGUI_LNC025882)". Lineage: Eukaryota; Viridiplantae; Streptophyta; Magnoliopsida; Arecales; Arecaceae. The record is from RNAcentral.